UACGUCUAGAAGCACUUCUGGGAGCGGCCUUUCUGGUAGUGGGAGCUCCAACUCUCGAGACUGUGGUAGCUGUUACAGUUCCGGUUCUAGGUCCUGUUCCUCCCGUAAGGAGGUCUGGUCGUCGCAGAGUAGAAGCGACCGUUCGUCGACCUCCUACCAGCGUGGGAGCGACUGAUGUUGUAGGCCUUCCUCAGGUGGGAGGUGGAACAGGAGACGGAAGCCCCUCCGUACGUCUAGAAACACUUCUGGGAGUGAUCGUUCUGGUAGUGGGAACUCCAACUCUCGAGGCUGUGGUAGCUGCUACAGUUCCGGUUCUCGGUCCUGUUCCUCCCGUAAGGAGGUCUGGUUGUUGCAGAGUAGAAACGACCGUUCGUCGACCUCCUACCGGCGUGGGAGCGACUGAUGUUGUAGGUCUUCCUCAGGUGGGAAGUGGAACAGGACGCAGAAGCACCACCGUACGUUUAGAAGCACUUCUGGGACUGCCCCUUCUGGUAGUGAGACCUCCAACUCUCGAGGCUGUGGUAGCUGUUGCAGUUCCGGUUCUAGGUCCUGUUCCUCCCGUAAGGGGGCCUGGUCGUCGCGGAAUAGAAACGACCGUUCGUCGACCUCCUACCGGCGUGGGAACGACUGAUGUUGUAGGUCUUCCUCAGGUGGGAGGUGGAACAGGACGCCGACGCACCACCGUACGUCUAGAAGCAGUUCUGGGAGUGACCG
Molecule: ribosomal RNA, 714 nt
Filed under: Triticum aestivum (bread wheat)
Lineage: Eukaryota; Viridiplantae; Streptophyta; Magnoliopsida; Poales; Poaceae
Description: partial small subunit ribosomal RNA
Source: RNAcentral